This 46-nucleotide non-coding RNA is filed under the name Schistosoma margrebowiei. The record is from RNAcentral. Lineage: Eukaryota; Metazoa; Platyhelminthes; Trematoda; Strigeidida; Schistosomatidae.
ACACUACUGAGGAGUUCAACAAUAGGACGAAAUGGCCAUCUAGUGC